This 484-nucleotide ribosomal RNA is filed under the name uncultured bacterium. Its description in RNAcentral is "partial 16S ribosomal RNA". It matches the Rfam family "Bacterial small subunit ribosomal RNA", at positions 29 to 507 of the family's 1533-position model. The record is from RNAcentral.
AUUGAACGCUGGCGGCAUGCUUUACACAUGCAAGUCGAACGGCAGCGCGGGCUUCGGCCUGGCGGCGAGUGGCGAACGGGUGAGUAAUGCAUCGGAACGUGCCCAGUAGUGGGGGAUAGCCCGGCGAAAGCCGGAUUAAUACCGCAUACGACCUGAGGGUGAAAGCGGGGGACCGAAAGGCCUCGCGCUAUUGGAGGGGCCGAUGUCGGAUUAGCUAGUUGGUGGGGUAAAGGCUUACCAAGGCGACGAUCCGUAGCUGGUCUGAGAGGACGACCAGCCACACUGGAACUGAGACACGGCCCAGACUCCUACGGGAGGCAGCAGUGGGGAAUUUUGGACAAUGGGGGCAACCCUGAUCCAGCCAUGCCGCGUGCGGGAAGAAGGCCUUCGGGUUGUAAACCGCUUUUGUUCGGGAAGAAAUCCUCUGGGCUAAUACCCCGGGGGGAUGACGGUACCGGAAGAAUAAGCACCGGCUAACUACGUG